AAACCGACAGCCGACGGAACGGACCGCUC
Molecule: non-coding RNA, 29 nt
Filed under: Bombyx mori (domestic silkworm)
Lineage: Eukaryota; Metazoa; Arthropoda; Insecta; Lepidoptera; Bombycidae
Source: RNAcentral